UACGGAGGGUGCGAGCGUUGUUCGGAAUUACUGGGCGUAAAGGGCGCGUAGGCGGCACAGCAAGUCGGGAGUGAAAGCCCGGGGCUCAACCGUGGAACGGCCUCGGAUACGGGCGGCCUGGAGGCGGGUAGGGGCAGGCGGAACUGUGGGUGGAGCGGUGAAAUGCGUUGAGAUCCACAGGAACUCCGGUGGCGAAGGCGGCCUGCUGGACCCGAACUGACGCUGAGGCGCGAAAGCCAGGGGAGCGAACGGG
This 253-nucleotide ribosomal RNA is filed under the name uncultured bacterium. RNAcentral's name for it is "partial 16S ribosomal RNA". It matches the Rfam family "Bacterial small subunit ribosomal RNA", at positions 524 to 776 of the family's 1533-position model. The record is from RNAcentral.